AAACUCAAAGGAAUUGACGGGACCCGCACAAGCAGCGGAGCGUGUGGUUUAAUUCGUUGCUACACGAAGAACCUUACCUGGGUUUGACAUAUAGGUUGUAGGGAACUGAAAAGGGACCGACCCUUCGGGGAGCCUAUACAGGUGUUGCAUGGCUGUCGUCAGCUCGUGUCGUGAGAUGUUCGGUUAAGUCCGCUAACGAGCGCAACCCUCGUCGUAUGUUAUAUGUGUCAUACGAGACUGCCGGUAAAAAGCCGGAGGAAGGUGAGGAUGAUGUCAAGUCAGCAUGACCUUUAUAUCCUGGGCUACACACACGCUACAAUGGCCAACACAAUAGGUUGCUAAGCCGCGAGGUGGCGCCAAUCCAUAAAGUUGGUCUCAGUUCAGAUUGUAGGCUGCAACCCGCCUGCAUGAAGAUGGAGUUGCUAGUAACCGCAGGUCAGCUAUACUGCGGUGAAUACGUUCCCGGGGCUU
RNAcentral lists this ribosomal RNA (471 nucleotides) under uncultured Anaerolineaceae bacterium. Its description in RNAcentral is "bacterial SSU rRNA". It matches the Rfam family "Bacterial small subunit ribosomal RNA", at positions 897 to 1382 of the family's 1533-position model. The record is from RNAcentral. Lineage: Bacteria; Bacillati; Chloroflexota; Anaerolineae; Anaerolineales; Anaerolineaceae.